GUUUGGUUGGUCUAUUGGUAUUAUGUUUUGCUCUUGCUUCUACCAUAUACCAGACUCGUUAUUCUGAAGCAAACGUAUGGAAAGAGAAGCUUGAAAAAGAAGCUUGCUGCCAGAGAAUUAGCAUCAGGGACUAGUUGAGACUAGAGCAUCUGUGUGCAUCAGGACAUCAAGUCCCACACGGUCACGGGGAGCCUGCAGUCUAUCCCAGGGGACUCGGGGCAUGAGGCAAGAGGUAGGGGACAACCCUUCCACAGAGCACAAUCACACACCCUUUCACAGAUGCCAAGCUGCCUACAAGGCAUGUCCCGGAAGCAUGGGGAGAACAUGCAAACUCUGCACAUACAAGGCGGAAGUGGGAAUUGAAUCUCCAACCCCAAGGUUCCAGAGUCUGGAGGAAGAGUGGAGAGGAACAGAAUCCAAGUUGCUUGAAG
Molecule: long non-coding RNA, 431 nt
Organism: Ictalurus punctatus (channel catfish)
Lineage: Eukaryota; Metazoa; Chordata; Actinopteri; Siluriformes; Ictaluridae
Source: Ensembl